RNAcentral lists this ribosomal RNA (499 nucleotides) under uncultured cyanobacterium. RNAcentral describes it as "bacterial SSU rRNA". It matches the Rfam family "Bacterial small subunit ribosomal RNA", at positions 355 to 864 of the family's 1533-position model. The record is from RNAcentral. Lineage: Bacteria; Bacillati; Cyanobacteriota.
UGGGGAAUUUUCCGCAAUGGGCGAAAGCCUGACGGAGCAAUACCGCGUGAGGGAUGACGGCCUAUGGGUUGUAAACCUCUUUUUUCAGGGAGGAAUCAAAUGACGUGUACCUGAAGAAUAAGUCAUCGGCUAACUCCGUGCCAGCAGCCGCGGUAAGACGGAGGAUGCAAGUGUUAUCCGGAAUCACUGGGCGUAAAGCGUCUGUAGGUGGUCCAAUAAGUCAACUGUUAAAUCUUGAGGCUCAACCUCAAAACCGCAGUCGAAACUAUUAGACUAGAGUAUAGUAGGGGUAAAGGGAAUUUCCAGUGGAGCGGUGAAAUGCGUAGAGAUUGGAAAGAACGCCGAUGGGCGAAGGCACUUUACUGGGCUAUUACUGACACUCAGAGACGAAAGCUAGGGUAGCAAAUGGGAUUAGAUACCCCAGUAGUCCUAGCCGUAAACAAUGGAUACUAGAUGUUGGACAGAUCGACCUGUGCAGUAUCAAAGCUAACGCGUUAAG